Long non-coding RNA from Eriocheir sinensis (Chinese mitten crab), 8007 nucleotides. RefSeq lists it as uncharacterized. The transcript is spliced from 2 exons. NCBI's taxonomy places the organism in Eukaryota, Metazoa, Arthropoda, Malacostraca, Decapoda, Varunidae. The record is from RefSeq and is a predicted model, not a curated record.
UCUCUUUCUCUCCUUCCAAUAAUACAACACAUUUUCAUCUCUGUUAUAACCACAAUCUUUUAAAUCCCACUUUCAUUCAUCAUUGUUACUAAGUUCUUAAUAACCUCAUUCUUUUUAUCCUCUCCUAUGACACAGCUUAUUAAAACAAUCUUUAUAUAUACUUUCUCUGCCCAAUACUGUGAAUUUUAUCAAUAUCCUUCAUCUUUUUCCCCAUUCUCUUCUUCCUUCUUCAUAAACUCCUCCAUUCUCUUCUUUCUGUUCAUAUUUCAAGCUUAAUGUAUCCCUCUAUUGUUCAUCCCGUCAUCAUCAGUUUCAUCAUCACGUAAGCUUUUUUUGGACAUUGCAUCAUCAUCAUCAUCUUCCUUUUAUUGCUAGUCUGAUUUUUAUUCCACUCAUUCGUUCUUUCCGUCAUCAAUGGACGUCACUAUCUUUUGCAACUGGGGCCUUUGUAAUCUCUUCCUCCUCCUCCUCCUCCUUCUUCUUCUUCUUCCUUCUUCUCUUCUUCUUUCUCUUUGUCUCCUUCUUUUUCCUUUUCCUCCUCUUUCGUUAUUUACUUGGCUACUGUUUUUAUUUCCCCUAUUCUUUCUUCUCUUCUUUUUCCUCUUAUUUUCUACUUCCUCCUUCUCCUAUUUCUCCAUCAUCAUCAUCCUUCUUCCUUUUUGUCUAUCAUCAUCUAUUGUUUCUUCCAAGUUCAUUCUAUCUAUUUCCCUUUUUCUUAUUUUUUCUGUUAUCACUUUUUAUCUCCCCCUCUCUUCUAAUUUUUCCAUCUUUAUCAUCCUUCCUUCCUCCUUAUCUUUGUUUUAUCCUUCUAUCUUCAUCCAUAUCUCCUUUUUCUUCUCUCAUUUCUCCUUCAUUAACUUAUUGCUAUCUUCUAUUUGAUUUCUACCUUCAAACUAACUUUUUCUCCUUCUCUUAGUUCUCCAAAAUCAUCAAUAUAUCUCCUCUGUAUGUCUCCCCAAACUUCACUCUCAUCUCCUGUCUCCUUCUCCUAUUUCUCCAUCUUCUCUUCCUCCUCCUCUGUAGCAAUGGUUUAAUAUGCUACCCACACCCUUCUCUACCCCCUCCCUUCACCCUUCUUCUCUCCCUUGCAUUAUUCAGGACUUUCUCUUGCCUUCCCCUCCCUUUUUCAUACCCAGUGGUCCAGUCUCUCCCUCUCUCUCUAUGGUAGCUUUGGUUGUUUGCAUAUAUGGUUGUUAUGCUGUUUGUAUGUGUUGCUUUUUCAAUCAAAUUCAGAGUCUUCGUUUUUCUGUUUUCUCUCGACUCAAGAUUUCCUUACGAUAUGUGUACUUUUGAAGGAGCGCCUGUCACACACCUAAUACCUUAUACCUAAUACAUGUUACCAUGUACUUUUUGAAGGGCCUGGUCACACACCCCUUGCCUCAUACUUCUACCUUAAGUACUCCACACUUCCUUACCUUAUACUGUUGAAGGGACCCAGUCUAAUACCUUAUACCUAAUACCUUAUACACGUUACCAUAUACUUUUUGAAGGGCCUGUCACACACACCCUUCCCUCAUACUUCUAACUUGUGUACUCCAUGGUUCCUUACCUUAUAGUGUUGAAGGGACUAGUCUUAUACCUUAUACUGUUACCUCAUACCUUAUACUUUUUGAAGGGGCAUCACACAGCUUUUACCUAACAUUUCCUUCCUUAUAUUUUGGGGCCCUGUUAAACACCUUUCCUUAUACUUUUUGAAGGGACUAGUCUUAUACCUUAUACUGUUACCUCAUACCUUAUACUUUUUGAAGGGGCAUCACACAGCUUUUACCUAACAUUUCCUUCCUUAUAUAUUUUGGGGGCCCUGUUAAACACCUUUCCUUAUACUUUUUGAAGGGUCCCAGUCAUACCUUAUACUGUUACCUCAUACCUUAUACUUUUUGAAGGGGCAUCACACAGCUUUUACCUAACAUUUCCUUCCUUAUAUUUUGGGGGCCCUGUUAGACUCCUUUCCUUAUACUUUUUGAAGGGACCAGUCUUAUACCUUAUACUGUUACCUCAUACCUUAUACUUUUUGAAGGGGCAUCACACAGCUUUUACCUAACAUUUCCUUCCUUAUAUUUUUGGGGCCCUGUUAGACUCCUUUCCUUAUACUUUUUGAAGGGUCCCAGUCUUAUACCUUAUACUGUUACCUCAUACCUUAUACUUUUUGAAGGGGCAUCACACAGCUUUUACCUAACAUUUCCUUCCUUAUAUUUUUUGGGGGGCCCUGUUAAACACCUUUCCUUAUACUUUUUGAGGGUCCAGUCACAUACCUUAUACUGUUACCUCAUACCUUAUAUUUUUUGAAUGGGCAUCACACACCUUAUACCUAACAUUUCCUUCCUUAUAUUUUUGGGGGGGCCCUGUUAAACACCUUUCCUUAUACUUUUAUCUUAUACCUUAUACUUAUUAGGGCCCAGUCACACACCUCAUACCUUCCUUAUAUUUUUGGGCCCUUGUUAAACCUCUCAUUUUAUACGUUUACCUUUCCCCUUAUGCUUUUUGAAGGGCCCGGUCACAUACCUUAUACUUUUGGAGGACCCUGUAACACCCCUUAUACUGUCACCUUAUACUUCAACUUCUCACACACCUCGCCUCGCAGUUUUACCAAUACCUUAUACUUCAGAAAGGCCCGGUGACAAGUCUUCUCAUAUACCUUAUACUCACUUCCUUAUACUUCUGAAGGGCCCUAAGACACACCUUUUCCAUCAACCUUAAACCUCCUCCCCUUUCCUCCUCUCACCUCUCAUCCAUCCACUCAUGAACCUCGCUUUGUUGUGGUAACACUUUAUUCCCAUGGUGUACAUGGUAGUAUAUAAAAUAUAAUGGAACCUUGAGCUAAAUGUUUUUGUUGUCAACUUGUGGUGGUGUGGAUGAGACUACUGGCAAUAGACAUGAUGUGAUAUAGCAAAGACCUCGACAGAUGGACCGACGGACGAGUUUCACAGUUCGACGCAGGUUUCAUAGUCACACGGAACGGGAGAUGAUGGAGAUUUCUUGUAUGGGGUUCAGUGGUGGUACAAAAAGUAAGUGAUUUGGGGAAACUAUACCAGAAAUUUAAAGGUUCUUGUAUGGGGUUCAGUGGUGGUACAGAAAGUAAGUGAUUUGGGGAAACUAUACCAGAAAUUUAAAGGUUCUUGUAUGGGGUUCAGUGGUGGUACAGAAAGUAAGUGAUUUGGGGAAACUAUACCACAAAUUUAAAGGUUCUAAGUACACAAAACCAAAGAUGAUGGAGAUUUCUUGUAUGGGGUUCAGUGGUGGUACAGAAAGUAAGUGAUUUGGGGAAACUAUACCACAAAUUUAAAGGUUCUGAGUACACAAAACCAAAGAUGAUGGAGAUUUUUUGUACAGGGUUUGGUGAUAUAGAUUUUUAAGUCCCCGAAAACUGACAACGAAUGGAAUUUCUUGUAUAAGGCUUGAUGUUAUGGAACGUAAGUGAUUGGUUGACACUACACCAUACAUUUAAGUAGUAUCUGGUGCUACAUACUAAAGAUGACCACUGCACCAAGGAAGAGUAUUAGGUAAGCUAUUUGAGGAAGCUAUACCAGAAAUCUGUAUAAUACCUGUUGCCCAAUACGAUAGAUUUUGAUGCUCGUAUGGAAACUGAGAAAUCUCGAACACGCACCAAAAAAGUGACCAUUGCACCAAGGAAGAGUAUAAGGUAAGCAAUUUGUGUGGAAGCUAUACCAGAAAUCUUUAUAAUAUCUGUUGCCCAAUACUGUAGAUAAAAAAUUUUGUUUGUACGGAAACUGAAAAAUCUCGAACACGCAACAAAAAUCUAUAGUACCAAGACUUCGUACCAAACCCGAGACUUACGUUCCUUAUACUCUGGUUACGGCGCUUAUGAUAUCACUGCGUCGGACUGUGAAACCGGUCUUGGGCCCUCAUAUUUUGGGGGGGGCUAUGUUACGAUAUACUCCUGAACCCAGACAGUGUGAGCUUAUGCUAAAACUAUUAACCCAAAGCAACCAAAACUCUUGAUAUAUGUAGUGUGGUGAGGGAAGGGAGGGAGGUGUGGGAAAGGAUGGAGUGUUGAUUAGAGGAGGAGGAGGAGGAGGAUGAGAGGGGAGGGAUGGAGUGAGCCUUGAUAAAUGAGAUGAGAAUUAAGGAAGAAAAAGAAAGGAUGAGAAAGAGAAAUGUAAGGAGAAAAGUGAUAAAAGAGAAAAAAAGAAGAGAAAGAAAGGAUGAGAAAUGUAAGCGAAUGACAAAAUGAAAAAUUAAGAGAAUGAAAAUGAGGAAAAAAAGGGACAGGAGAGAAUGAAAGGAGCAGAAAAUGAAAAGAAAAAUGAGUGAAAAAAAGGAAAAGUGAGGAAAGAGAGACAAGUGAAAGAGGAAAACUUAGGAAAGGAAAUCAAGGAAAAAGGAUGAAAGGAAAGUAAGAAGAGGAAAAAGUUAUAGAAAGGAAAAAAUGAGAAAAGGAAGUUUGAAUGUUGAAGAAAGGGAAACAGAGGAGGAAGGAGAGAGAGAGAGAGAGAGAGAGAGAGGGAAAAGAAAGGAAGGGAAGGAAAAAGUUAUAAAAAGGACAAAAAACUAGAAAAGGAAAGUUAAUAUGUUGAAAAAAAGGAGGAAAGAAGAGAGAAAGAAAGAGAGAGAGAGGGAGGGAUGGAGAGAAGGAGGGAAAGUAAGGAGAGGAAAAGAUGAUAAAAAGGAAAGUUAGGAUGUUGAAAAAAAGAAAAAACAGAGGAGGAAAAAAAGACGAAUGGAGAGAGAGAGAGAGAGGGAGGGAGGGAUGGAGAGAAGGAAGGAUGGAGGGAGGGAGGGAGGGUACAUCCAAUUAACCAAACACAAGCCUACCACAUCGAUCCAACACAUCCGCGGCAACAUCGACGGAAAUGAACGAACGCAAUUUCCGAGACACUCACCGACAUGUCUUCCGUAAGGGGCGGUGAGGACGAGGGAGAGGGAGGGAGACGACGAAGGGAGAUGAUGAAGGGGGAAGCAACACACCCUAUCUACACAAAGUUUGAUGAUGCACCCAAGCCUAUUAUUAUUUUUUUUCUUGUUUUUUUUCGUUUUGUUAUUUUUUCAGUGUUAUGAUCGUAGUGGAUGAACGUAAAUUAGAGGGGAGGAAAGCAGGAAAGAGAGGGAUUAAGGGAAGGAAAGGGAGGUGUUGGGUAAGGAAGGAAGGAAGGGAGGGAGGGAAAGAGGGAGAGAGAGGAAGGAAGGGAAAAAAAGGGAGGUUGAGAGGAAGGAAUUGAGGGAGAGAAAGGAGGGAGAGGAUAAAGGAAGAGAAAGAGAGGAAAGGAGAGGGAGAGAAAGGGAAGAAAGGAGAAAGGAAGAAAAGGAAAGAGGAACAAAAGAGAGGAAGGAAGGAAAAGAAGGAAGAAGAGAAAGAGAAGGAAAGAGAAAAGGGAAAAGAGAAAGAAAGGGCAGAAAACAAGGAGAGAAAAGAAGAAAAAGAUGGAUAAAAAAGAUAAAGGAAAGAAAAGGAGAAUAAGGUAUUGAAAGAAUCGAGAGAAGGAGAGAAAAGGGGAAAACAGGGAGGAGGAAGGAAGGAAGAGGCAAUAAACGUCGCAAGGUUCACACACAUCAAUAGGCGAAACGUAAACAAUCAUUCUCAGUACACAGACACAAAGAAGAAGAGGAGAAAAAUCCUAUAACCUACCCGUCGUUUGUUUUCCUUAAGGGGGAGUUUCUUACGUUUAUAGCCAUCAUUUUUUUGUUUGUUUUCUGCGUUUAUGAAUUUUUUGUGGUGUUUUUUGUAUAUUGUGACGUCAAGCAUGAAUCCUAUAUAUAUAAAAAUGAAAUGGCAGUAGUAGUAGUAGUAGUAGUAGAAGUAGUAGUAGUAGUAGUAGUAAUAGUAGUAGUAGUAGUAGUAGUAGUAGCGAACGUAAUAUAAUGUUCCCAGAUAGUUUUGGUCAGUCGACGGAAUCGCCAGUUUGUUUGACCGCCAUGAAAGGACAGAGAAAAAUGUGGAGAACUCAAAAAGUGUGAAACGAAAAGAAAAUAAAUGUCAUACGUACAAGAUGAGUUUCGACAUUGAGGAAAAAAAACAGCAGCAAUGUCGCCAAAUAAGGAAGGAAAAAAAGAACAUCCAAUAUUAAAAAAAACAGGACAGGAAAACUAUUAGUAGCAAUGUCGCCAAAUAAGGAAGAAAAAAAAAGAACAUCCAAUAUUAAAAAAAACAGGACAGGAAAACUAUUAGUAGCAAUGUUGCCAAAUAAGGAAGGAAAAAAAGAACAUCCAAUAUAAAAAAACAGGACAGGAAAACUAUUAGUAGCAAUGUUGCCAAAUAAGGAAGGAAAAAAAGAACAUCCAAUAUUAAAAAAAACAGGACAGGAAAACUAUUAGUAGCAAUGUUGCCAAAUAGGGAAGAAAAAAAAAACAUCCAAUAUAAAAAAAACAGGACAGGAAAACUAUUAGUAGCAAUGUUGCCAAAUAAGGAAGGAAAAAAAGAACAUCCAAUAUUAAAAAAAACAGGACAGGAAAACUAUUAGUAGCAAUGUUGCCAAAAAAGGAAGGAAAAAAAGAACAUUCAAUAUUAAAAAAAAAACAGGACAGGAAAACUAUUAGUAGCAAUGUCGCCAAAUAGGGAAGAAAAAAAAAACAUCCAAUAUUAAAAAAAACAGGACAGGAAAACUAUUAGUAGCAAUGUUGGCAAAUAAGGAAAACAAAUGAAAAAAAAACAUCAAUCAAGUCAGGAAAAAAACAGGAAAAAUUUAUCGUACUGUCACUACAAGGAAAGAGGACAAAAAAUAUUAAAACGUGAAAGGAAGGGAAAUAAAAAGGUCAGUUAUUUAGUAAAAGUGAAAAGUUAUAUCAUUAUUAAUAAGAACAAAAAAAGUUAUUCAGUCUUCCAAUCACAAAAAAAUUAUAGAAAACAUCGCAAUAAUAAAAAAAACAGGUCAGUAGGUCAUCGAAGAAGGUCAAAACAAACACCAAAUAAGGAAUAAGACAAAAUCAGUUAGUCCCCAAAACAAUACUAAUAAUAAAACAAAACAAAUAAAGAAAAUAAUAGAGAAAAAAGAAAGAGAUCAGGCGUAUCGUCACCCAAAACAAAAUCAAGACAAUCAUCGAAUAAGAAAACAAAACAAUACCAGUCAGUCUUUAAGUCCCCCAAAACAAAACAAAACAAAAUAAUAGAGAAAAAAGAACAUUAUCAGGCGUAUCGUCACCCAAAACAAAAUCAAAACAAUCACCCAAUAAGAAAACAAAACAAUACCAGUUAGUCAGUCUUUAAGUCACCCCUAAAAACAAUAAUAAUAAUAAUAAAAAGAAAAACUAAAGUGCGCCAAAAAUCAUCACCCGCCCAGAAAAAAAAAAAAUGGCAGCAAAUAAGAAAAGAAAAACAAAAACACACAAUCGGUCUGUCGGAUGUAUUGAAAAAAAUAAAUAAAUAAAUAAAUAAAUAAAAAAAAAAAAAAUAAAUCUAACUAAGUCUGCUCACCACAAGCAUAAUAAAUCCACCAGCAACAACAACAACAACAACAAUCAUCAUCAUCAUCAUUACUAUUUUAUCGGCUAGUUAGAGGCUAUCAUUAAGAGGGGCUAUUAGUGUGUAUUAACAUUAUCGCUAGUAAUUCGAAUAGCUACAGCAGCCAAGGGUUUAAAUGUAGACCUUGGUGAAAAGAGCGAUUAUGAGCUAUGGGGUAGAGCGUAAGGGGGGGGGGGGGAGGCGGAGGAGGAGGCGGAGGAGGAGGUGAUGGAUGGUAGUGAGAGUAGGUUUAAAGAGUAUGAUCUGAUUUGAGAAGGAGAGGGAAGGGAAGGGAAGGGAAGGGAAGGGAAAGGAAGGGAACGGAUAUUAAGGAAAGGGAAUGGAAUGGAAGGGAACGAUGGGAAGGGAAGGUAUAGGAUAUUAAGGAAAGGAAAGGGAAAGGAAGGGGAAGGGAAUGGAGGGGUAGGGAAGGGAUGAGAAAGGAAGGGGAGGGGAAGAUAAGGGAAUGAAAUAGAAGGUGAGGGAAGGGAUGAGAAGGGAUAAGAGGUUAAGUGGAGGAAAGAUAAGGAAAGAUAAGGGAAGGGAAGGAAAGGUAAGGGAAGGAGAGGAUAAGAAAGGGAAGGGAAGGAAGGAGGAAGAAAGGAAAGGAAGAA